RNAcentral lists this ribosomal RNA (271 nucleotides) under uncultured prokaryote. Its description in RNAcentral is "partial 16S ribosomal RNA". It matches the Rfam family "Bacterial small subunit ribosomal RNA", at positions 524 to 794 of the family's 1533-position model. The record is from RNAcentral.
UACGGAGGAUCCGAGCGUUAUCCGGAUUUAUUGGGUUUAAAGGGUGCGCAGGCGGGAGAUUAAGUCGGCGGUGAAAUUUUGCAGCUCAACUGUAAAAGUGCCUUCGAUACUGGUUUCCUUGAGUGUGGAUGAAGUAGGCGGAAUUUGUGGUGUAGCGGUGAAAUGCAUAGAUAUCACGAGGAACUCCGAUUGCGCAGGCAGCUUACUAAACUACUACUGACGCUCAGGCACGAAGGCGUGGGGAUCAAACAGGAUUAGAUACCCCCGUAGU